GAUGAACGCUGGCGGCGUGCCUAAUACAUGCAAGUCGAGCGAACAGACGAGGAGCUUGCUCCUCUGACGUUAGCGGCGGACGGGUGAGUAACACGUGGAUAACCUACCUAUAAGACUGGGAUAACUUCGGGAAACCGGAGCUAAUACCGGAUAAUAUAUUGAACCGCAUGGUUCAAUAGUGAAAGACGGUUUUGCUGUCACUUAUAGAUGGAUCCGCGCCGCAUUAGCUAGUUGGUAAGGUAACGGCUUACCAAGGCAACGAUGCGUAGCCGACCUGAGAGGGUGAUCGGCCACACUGGAACUGAGACACGGUCCAGACUCCUACGGGAGGCAGCAGUAGGGAAUCUUCCGCAGUGGGCGAAAGCCUGACGGAGCAACGCCGCGUGAGUGAUGAAGGUCUUCGGAUCGUAAAACUCUGUUAUUAGGGAAGAACAAAUGUGUAAGUAACUAUGCACGUCUUGACGGUAACUAAUCAGAAAGCCACGGCUAACUACGUG
RNAcentral lists this ribosomal RNA (497 nucleotides) under uncultured bacterium. Its description in RNAcentral is "partial 16S ribosomal RNA". It matches the Rfam family "Bacterial small subunit ribosomal RNA", at positions 28 to 507 of the family's 1533-position model. The record is from RNAcentral.